Molecule: long non-coding RNA, 562 nt
Organism: Anguilla rostrata (American eel)
Lineage: Eukaryota; Metazoa; Chordata; Actinopteri; Anguilliformes; Anguillidae
Exons: 5
Source: RefSeq, a predicted model, not a curated record
CUAACGGAGACGCAGAUGAGCAAAGCCUCAUUUCAGCUUCAGCAGCCCGAACUCUGAAGCCCCCGUCCUGGGUGAGGUGGGACGAGAGGGGGGGUUAGGGCAAAGAGGUAGAGGUGUGAGUUAGGGUUAGGGUUAGGGUUAGGGUAGAGAGGUGUGAGUUAGGGUUAGGGUUAGGGUUAGGGCAGAGAGGUGUGAGUUAGGGUUAGGGUUAGGGUUAGGAGGUGUGAGUUAGGGUUAGGGUUAGGGUAGAGAGGUGUGAGUUAGGGUUAGGGUUAGGGUUAGGGCAGAGAGGUGUGAGUUAGGGUUAGGGUUAGGGUUAGGGCAGAGAGGUGUGAGUUAGGGUUAGGGUUAGGGUUGGGGUUAGGGUUAGGGCAGAGAGGUGUGAGUUAGGGUUAGGGUUAGGGUAGAGAGGUGUGAGUUAGGGUUAGGGUUAGGGUUAGGGCAGAGAGGUGUGAGUUAGGGUUAGGGUUAGGGCCUCAGCGUCUGUUUGAGCUCCUCCACACAGGGGCUCGUCUACUCCAGGUCUGAAAGAGCAGAUCCUACACUCCUCCUGACUGCAGCU